UACGUAGGGUGCAAGCGUUAAUCGGAAUUACUGGGCGUAAAGCGUGCGCAGGCGGUUUUGUAAGUCUGUCGUGAAAUCCCCGGGCUCAACCUGGGAAUUGCGAUGGAGACUGCAAGGCUAGAAUCUGGCAGAGGGGGGGUAGAAUUCCACGUGUAGCAGUGAAAUGCUGUAGAGAUGUGGAGGAACACCGAUGGCGAAGGCAGCCCCCCUGGGUC
RNAcentral lists this ribosomal RNA (215 nucleotides) under uncultured bacterium. RNAcentral describes it as "partial 16S ribosomal RNA". It matches the Rfam family "Bacterial small subunit ribosomal RNA", at positions 524 to 735 of the family's 1533-position model. The record is from RNAcentral.